This 430-nucleotide ribosomal RNA is filed under the name Pseudancylastrum dybowskii. RNAcentral's name for it is "partial 16S large subunit ribosomal RNA". The stretch from base 1 to 128 matches the Rfam family "Archaeal large subunit ribosomal RNA", at positions 1908 to 2079 of the family's 2987-position model. Lineage: Eukaryota; Metazoa; Mollusca; Gastropoda; Acroloxidae. The record is from RNAcentral.
AGCUAAAAGAAAUAAUAUAUUUUUAGUAAAGCCUGCCCAGUGAUUUUAAUUUAACGGCCGCAGUACCUUGACUGUGCUAAGGUAGCAUAAUAAAUUGGCUUUUAAUUAAAGUCUGGAAUGAAUGGCACUUUAAAAUUUUUCUGUCAUAAUAAAUUAUUUAUUUUAACUUAUUUAUUUGGNGAAAAUACCAAAACUAUUAGUAAAAAGACGAGAAGACCCUAAGAAUUUAAAAUAUUUUUUGUUGGGGCGACAAAAAGACAUAUAAACUCUUUUUAUUUUUUAAUAUAUAACGCAUAAUAUUAAUUAAAAAUAAGUUACCUUAGGGAUAACAGCAUAAUUAGUUUUUAACUGUUUAUGACCUCGAUGUUGGACUAGAAAAUUUUUUUACUAGCUGUUAAAAAAGUUUGUUCUGUUCGAACAAUUAUUUUCU